RNAcentral lists this long non-coding RNA (6090 nucleotides) under Phoenix dactylifera (date palm). Its description in RNAcentral is "long non-coding RNA (PDAC_LNC003232)". The record is from RNAcentral. Lineage: Eukaryota; Viridiplantae; Streptophyta; Magnoliopsida; Arecales; Arecaceae.
UGUAACAAAGAAUGGUUCUUGUAACAUAGAGAGUCCAUUGGACUUCCGAGGGUUCUUUCCACUAAAGCUUACUGUUCUUCAAUCUCCUCCCUCUUGUUUUCUGAUCAGGACGAAGGCUACGCGACGUGACCUCCCUCGUUCGGAUCAAGUUUUGGUAUUAAAGCAUUGGUUUUCCACCUGUGCAUGGUUCUAACCAAAUCCGGCUACCAGGCAACCGGCGAACCUCUCUCCGUCUUGCAAGUUCACCAUCGGCCAACAAGGAAGGCUGAAUCUUCAUCAACAAUGUCGACCGACGAUGAUUUCACACCAGAUCAGCCCGACCUCUCAGCUAAGGUCGAUAGGCUAACCACUCAAUUUAACGUGGAUUCAAGCUCAAACAUCUUCCCCACUACCCACGAUGGUGAAGAACGAUAGCAACAAACCUUCUCCGCCACGAGCUCGUUUGACGACCGUGAAGAAUAAGACUGGGGGUACCUCGGUCUUGAAGGAGGAGGAGGACCAUGACAACCGGGAUGAUGCUAGUAUUGUAUUGUUCACGAAAGGAAAGCCUCAACCCUUCAAAGUUGAGGCCAGAAUUGACAUUCCAAUGUUCGACAGCACCAUCGACGCGGAGAAGCUGGACUCUUGGGUGGACCAGCUAGAGACCUACUUCACCCUCUACGGGUUUGGUAGUGGCGAGAAAGUCACGUUUGCACGACUAAAGCUAACCAGCCAUGCAUUAGCUUGGUGGAACGUGUACUUGAAGACCAACAACAAUAGGGAGGUAACAUGGGAAGAAUUUUCUCACCUUCUGCGCCAAGAAUUCUAUCCGAUGGGAUACUCACAAGAUUGAUGGUCGCAUUGGCACAACUUAAGGCAGCGACAGAACCAAACAGUGCAAGAAUACACUACAGAAUUCCGGUGCCUAGCAGUGAUGCUAGGUAUCUACCUCGACAACAAAGACGUUUUCACCAAGUUCGUAGCUGGCCUGCAUCGACAAAUCCAAAACGAACUACGCUUAUAUCAAGCAACUAACGUCUCCAAUGCCAGUAGCAUUGCUAUGGCCAUCGAGCAAAAGAACAAACCCGGCGGACAACGUGCGUCUGAUAGCAGCAAGGAGAAGAGUGGCGGCAACCAUCAUCCUAAGAAGCACGCCCAAAGGAGUAACUCUUCCUCCUCAUCCAAAUCAAACAAGUUCUGUGAACAUUGCAAAAUCACAGGACACGAGAAGGGGAAGUGCUAAACGCACAACGGCGGCAACAAUCUCCAACGACCACAUCGAACUCAGACGGAUCAUAGGAGCAGACAAGAGUUUGUCUCUGAUGGCAAUGCCGAAGGAGACAACCUCGAGUUCGCCGACCGUACUCGAUGAGAAGGAGGAGCUGUUCACAAUGCGAAUUCAAGUGAAGCAAGAAAUCAUCGAGGCCAUCAUCAACACCGGUAGUCAAAAGAACCUGAUCUCGUCAAGCUUGGUUCAAAAACUAGGACUUGAGAAAACACUACAUCCACGACCAUACCCGCUUAGAUGGAUCCAGAAGGACGUGGAACUCAAGAUUGACCGCCAGUGCAAAUUUUGCUUCGCCAUCACUAGUCAAUACAUCGACGAAGUGACGUGUGAAGUGGUACCUCUUGAUAUUUGCCAGGUGAUUUUUGGCAGUCUGUAUCUUUGGGAGCGUGAUGCUAUCUACUACCGACGCGCCUAGCGGUACCAGUUCGAGACAGACAAGAAGAAAUACAUCGUCAACAAAAAUCGAGCAUGCCAAAAGGUGGAUUUGGUGACUGCUUGCCAAGCAAGACGGAUGGUAAGUGCCUAUCAAAAGUUUGUCCUGUUGAUGAUCCGGCUAGUAGAAAUUAGAGCAAAGGUUUCAGCUCUAACAUUAUCAUGUAAAGAGCUGGACAACAAGUUGAAUGAACUACUUGACAAGUAUGCGAGUCUGUUCACAGAAGCGGACAGGUUACCUCUAAAGCGGGCGGUAGAACAUGACAUCCAACUCAUCUUCGACUCCACAUUGCCUAACCUUUUCAUGUACCGCAACUCAGUGAUGGAGAAUGAGGAGAUCAAGUGGCAGGUGAACAAACUACUUGAAGCCGGCGUCAUCAAACCAAGUAGCUCUCCUUGUGGAUGAAGGAAAGACCAAUCAAACGUUCGCGUGGAUGAAGGAACAUGAGGAUACGUUCCUCCUGCUGAAAAGGAAGAUCAGCGAGGCACCGGUUCUCGCCUUGCCAAACCUACAGAAGAGGUUUGAGCUUGAAGCAAACGCAUCGGGAUAUGCCAUGGGGGCUGUCCUAAUGCAGGAAGGACGACCCGUGGCAUACCACUUGGAGAUGUUUCAAGGUGCUGCGAAGAACUACCCGACGUACGAUAAAGAGCUUCUUGCUCUACACCAGGCGGUCAAGCACUAGCAUGUCUACCUCCUUGGCAAGGAGACAGUAGUGCACACUGACCACCGGCCAUUACAGUACCUACAGACGCAGACCCGACUGCAGCAAGCCCGACACAUGAAGUGGAUGACAUACCUGCAACAAUUCAACCUUGUGAUCAAGUACAAAAAGGGCAUUCACAACAAAUUGGCGGACAUGUUGUGACGACCACCGGUAGCGACACUUUGCUUAUCAGUAUUCAUGCAAGUACAACCAACUUUUCAUGAGGAGUAUACCGGCUGGUAUGAUGAAGAUCCCGACUUUCAAAACACAUUGGUAGACAUAAAAUCAAGAAAACCAUCCGACUUCAUGCUGCGUGAUGGGCUCCUUUACAAAGGAGCGCUUUUAUGCAUACCACAACCUGCCAAGUGCAUGAGAUACAUGCAGAAGGCACAUACAUCAAAGAUAGCCGGUCACUUCGGGGCGACGAAGAUGCUACAAAAUCUGCUUCGCUACGUCUUUUGGCCGAGAAUGCAACAAGACGUGGUCCGUUUCGUCAAAGGGUGUGUGUUGUGCAGCACAUCCAAACCCGCAAAUCGGAAGGUCGGAUUAUACACCCCACUGCCCGUUCCGACACGACCAUGGGAGAGUGUCGCUAUAGAUUUCUUGGGUGGCCUUCCAAGGACGCAGUGAGGACACUACUACCUAUUUGUAGUAGUCGAUAGGUUCUCAAAAAUGGUGGUGCUCAUGCCUUGCAAGAAGACGGUCACCGGGAAGGAGGCGGCACAACUCUUCUUCGAAAACGUGGGAAAAAUAUUUGGGCUUCCCAGCUCGAAUAUAUCUGAUCGAGAUAGUCGAUUCCUGAGAAAAUUUUGUGUGCCUUGUAGGCCAAGAUGGAUACCAAGCUAAAACGGAAUACCGCAUUCCAUCCUCAAACCGAUGGUCAGACUAAAGUGGUUAAUAGAACUAUCGUACACCUACUCUGAGGAUAUAACGCUCGACACCCAAAAGCCUGGGACGAGAGCAUUCCCUUCUUGCAAUUUGCCAUCAACCACACCAUCCACAGCUCAACAAAUAAAUCGCCAUCAAAAGUUUGCCUAGGCUUCUUACCACAAAGCCCUUUUGACCUGGAGUUCACGAACGGGCCUACACCUCAGACCACCAAAGAAGAAGGCAGCAUGGUACGAGCGCAAUGCUUCUUGGAGAACAUUAGGAAGGUGCACCAUGAGGUGGAGCAACAGUUACAAAAAGCGCAACAAAAGUAUAAGGAACGCCAUGAUCGACACCGAGUCAAAGGCAACUUCCAGGUGGGCGACCUUGUUUGGUUGCAUUUGGAAAAGGAACGUCUGAAAGUAAGGCUACAAAUGGGUUGGGUCGACCCAUGACCCGACCCGACAUGACCCGCGUAGACCCGACCCGACAUGACCCACGUAGACCCGAUCCAACCCGAAUUUUAGGACCCGCGGGUCCAGGUUGGGUCCUAAAAUUGGAUCCGAAUCAUUUUCUGGAUUGGGUCUGGGUUAUCCGAACGGACCCGACCCGACUUGAACGGACCCGAAGAUAGAGAGAGAGAGGAAAAGCAAAAGAGAGCCUCUUCUUUUUUUGUGUGUGGGUCGUGGUACCAUUGGUCGUUUUUAAGUGAAUUUAUGGCGGGUUUUCAAGGUACACACGAAGGAGAUAUGGGUUUCUUAGGAGCUCGUUAGCUUGCUCCCAUGGCCUUAUUAUUCUCUAAGGGAUGGGAAAUGCCAGCCAAUAAGGAGGAAAAGCUUUGUACCAAAAAAAAAAGGAGGAACAGCCCUAAGGGGAGUAGGGUUCAAGCGUGGAAGGAUAGCAACAAGCAUAGGUUCACAAAAUCCAAAGGAACCUCGGCCCAUCGGAUUCUCUCUCGAUCUAUUACACUGUUGAUACCUCUGGUGUCUCCGUAGCUGGCUUUUUUUUUCCUUCUGUUUUUUGGUUUUUGAUUCUUUUAACUUUUGAAGGGAGAAAGUGAGGGAACACUGAACUAAAUAUGGGUCAUGUGCCAGUUUUCUGCAAUGGAAUUGAAUUUUGGAAGAAGGUUUGGGAUUUUUUUUGUCCUCCUGAGAGGGGAGCAGGGAGACACCAAGUUCCAUCCAAUCAGUCAUAUAGAUAAAAAUAGUGUGAUAUGAAAUUUGGCUUGUAGACCGACUUAGUAAGUCAUGGGUCAUCUGUUCUGACUGGAGGUCAAUUGCAAGUCUUUCAAGUCAUGGGUCACCCAGCACCUCAUAAUUAUGAUAUGACCAAAUUAGAUUUGCCCAAAUUCUUUCCCAAAAGCACAAAGAAAGCGGUAACAUCUGACCGGACCCGACCCGAACCCGACUCGGACCCGACCCGAUCUUCAAUCGGAUCAGGUCUGGGUCCAAAAUUAGAACUCGAACAAAAAACUGGAUCGGGUGGGGAUCACUCAGAACCCGACCCGACCCGACCCAUUUGCACCCCUAUUAGAAAGGUGAAGGUAAAAAGCUUAAACCCAUCCGUUAUGGGCCUUUCAGGAGCCUCCGAAAUGUCGGCGACAACGCCUGCCAACUAGAACUACCAGUCGACACGGAGAUGUACGCGGUUAACGUCAAGAAAUUGAAGCCCUUCAAACCAUCAAUGCUGGAUGAUGAGCCCGGUGAGACAUUGCCGACCAUAGAGAAUUUGGUGACGGAACAGGAAUCUGUGUUGGCAGAAGACACUAUUUUGGAGAGGAAGACAACCACAACUACGCGUGGCACUAGGAAAUUGUUCCGGGUUGGACGGAAGGGCCAGCGACCCAGUGCAGCAAAAUAGUUUUCAAGGAAGACUGGGCAGUCUCAGUUUCCCCACCUUCAGUUCUAGAACCAGCAGGAGCUGACUGCUCCCAAAGAAGGGGAGCCGUGAUCCGGGACGAUCUCCUGCACUCGGGAGCAUCUCGGAUGGAUAGAGCACGAUGUGUCAAGUUCUAUGCGAAUGACGUGCCAAGUUCCAUGCGGGAGGAAGAACGGCGUGCGAACGAUAUGCCGAGUUCCAUGCAGGAAAAAGAACGACGUGCGAACGAUGUGCCCGAGUCCUACGCACGACGAGCGGGAAGAAGCUUGACAUGCCCGAGUCCCAUGCAGGGAGGAAGCUCAACGUGCCGAAUCCCAUGCAUGACAGGCCUUGGUCUCCCGAGCCUCACCGUGGGAUGCAGAGAGCCACAAUAAACGGGAGGAAGAAAACACUUCCCGAGCCAUCCCGAGUCAUGCACGUUUUCCGUUGUGAGGACGUGGGACGUGGGGAAGCUAGUGAAUUGACGUAUUGGCAGAGUGUCACGUUAGUUGUGAUAGGGAGGAUGACUAAAAGCUGAAGUCCGGAGGGAAACAAGGGAGGGGAGUUUUGGAGGUAAGAAGAAAACAGUAGCCUCUGUAACAAAAAAUGGUUCUUGUAACAGAGAGAGUCCAUUGGACUUCCGAGGGUUCUUUCCACUAAAGCUUACGGUUCUUCAAUCUCCUCCCUCUUGUUUUCCGAUCAGGACGAAGGCUACGCGACGUGACCUCCCUCGUUCGGAUCACUUACUAAAUGUGUGAGAUCUAUAUCAUCUGUCUAUGUUAUCUAUCAAGCAGGAUUUUCCAACUGGUAUUAGUUUGGAACUUGAUAACCCCAAAACUGAAUACUUAAUCACAAGCAUCAAAUAGAAGACGAACGACAAAAACAACAAAUGAAUACUUAGCUCGCUCUCAUCUUCAAAAUGUGGUUUCCAACAAGAAAUUCCCUCAGUUAUAAUUACCAUCA